AAGGAUGGGUCUUCAAGAAGCUUGCUCUUAUCGACCUGUUUUAGAAACAUCAGGAAGCUCUAAGUCAUACGAGCUCCAUUGGCGGGACCCGCCGUCUUCGUUUCUCUUUCUUCGCGGACGAACACGCGCCUGGGGUGGCGCUGCGCUGUUAGCUUUGAAGCUUUGCGCAGGAUUUCUGCCUCUCGUGCUGAGGGCUUGUAGCUCAGUUGGUUAGAGCGCGCGCUUGAUAAGCGUGAGGUCGGAAGUUCAAGUCUUCCCAGGCCCACCAUUUUAUCGAGCGCUGCAUUCGUCUUCUGGUUACGGGGCCAUAGCUCAGCUGGGAGAGCGCGUGCUUUGCAAGCAUGAGGUCGUCGGUUCGAUCCCGUCUGGCUCCACCAGAUGGGCGACCCUUGAUGACGGCUUGCGCCGGUUAUUCGUCCGCGAGACACAACUUCGCGUGCUGCCUUCAUGGCAAGCAUUGCGGGAUAUCUGACAUCGUGAAGAGGAGAUCGAUCCGAGUUCGGAUCUGUGGCGUCAAGCUGCGGUUCUGAUCACUAUCUCCGGAUCAUUUUUCGGCGCUUGGCCAUCGGCCAAGUUGUAAAAAUGAUCUUUGUUGGCGACGCUUGACCGCAUCGCCAUCGGUUCGAUCUUAUGAAGCAAGCUGGUCUUUCUAAUCAAUGAUCCGUCUGCAUGUGAUGCGCCUCACCCGCGCGCUUCUCUCUUGAGAAGCUAGCCUGCAGAACAUUCUGCCGAGUGUGUGGACAUUGAUAAUGAGAGCAAUCAA
RNAcentral lists this transfer RNA (763 nucleotides) under Rhodopseudomonas sp. TUT3601. The stretch from base 192 to 265 matches the Rfam family "tRNA". The record is from RNAcentral. Lineage: Bacteria; Pseudomonadati; Pseudomonadota; Alphaproteobacteria; Hyphomicrobiales; Nitrobacteraceae.